UGGGGAAUAUUGGACAAUGGGCGAAAGCCUGAUCCAGCAAUGCCGCGUGAGUGAUGAAGGCCUUAGGGUUGUAAAGCUCUUUUACCCGGGAUGAUAAUGACAGUACCGGGAGAAUAAGCCCCGGCUAACUCCGUGCCAGCAGCCGCUGUAAUACGGAGGGGGCUAGCGUUGUUCGGAAUUACUGGGCGUAAAGCGCACGUAGGCGGCUUUGUAAGUUAGAGGUGAAAGCCCGGGGCUCAACUCCGGAAUUGCCUUUAAGACUGCAUCGCUAGAAUUGUGGAGAGGUAAGUGGUAUUCCGAGUGUAGAGGUGAAAUUCGUAGAUAUUCGGAAGAACACCAGUGGCGAAGGCGACUUACUGGACACAUAUUGACGCUGAGGUGCGAAAGCGUGGGGAGCAAACAGG
Molecule: ribosomal RNA, 404 nt
Filed under: bacterium
Lineage: Bacteria
Description: partial 16S ribosomal RNA
Rfam family: Bacterial small subunit ribosomal RNA
Source: RNAcentral